Molecule: long non-coding RNA, 1025 nt
Filed under: Salmo salar (Atlantic salmon)
Lineage: Eukaryota; Metazoa; Chordata; Actinopteri; Salmoniformes; Salmonidae
Description: lncRNA (ENSSSAG00000117466.1)
Source: RNAcentral
GAACUAUUAGGCGGAGGAAACAGAUCUUGGUGAGGGGGACUAUUAGACGUAGGAAACAGAUCUUGGUGAGGGGGACUAUUAGACGUAGGAAACAGAUCUUGGUGAGGGGGACUAUUAGGAGGAGGAAACAGAUCUUGGUGAGGGGGACUAUUAGACGGAGGAAACAGAUCUUGGUGAGUGUGACUAUUAGAAGGAGCAAACAGAUCUUUGUGAAAGGGACUAUUAGACGGAGGACACAGAUCUUGGUGAGGGGGACUAUUAGACGGUGAGGGGGACUAUUAGACGGAGGAAACAGAUCUUGGUAACGGGGUCUAUUAGACGGAGGAAACAGAUCUUCCUGAGGGGGACUAUUAGACGGAGGAAACAGAUAUUGUUGAGGGGGACUAUUAGACGGAGGAAACAGAUCUUGAUGAGGGGGACUAUUAGACGGAGGAAACAUAUCUUAGUGAGGGGGACUAUUAGAAAGGGGAAACAUAUCUUGAUGAGGGGGACAAUUAGACGGAGGAAACAGAUCUUAGUGAGUGGGACUAUUAGACGGAGGAAAAAGAUAUUGUUGAGGGGGACAGUUAGACGGAGGAAACCGAUCUUGAUGAGGGGGACUAUUAGACGGAGGAAACAGAUCUUGGUGAGGGGGACUAUUAGAUGGAGGAAAUAGAUCUUGGUGAGGGGGACUAUUAGACGGAGGAAACAGAUCUUGAUGAGGGGGACUAUUAGACGAAGGAAACAGAUAUUGUUGAGGGGGACUAUUAGACGGAGGAAACAGAUCUUGCUGAGGGGGACUAUUAGACGUAGGAAACAGAUCUUGGUGAGGGGGACUAUUAGAAGGAGGAAACAGAUCUUGGUGAGGGGGACUAUUAGACGGAGGAAACAGAUCUUGGUGAGUGGGACUAUUAGACGGAGGAAACAGAUCUUGGUGAGGGGGACUAUUAGACGGAGGAAACAGAUCUUGGUGAGGGGGACUAUUAGACGGAGGAAACAGAUCUUGGUGAGGGGGACUAUUAGACGGAGGAAACAGAUCUUGGUGA